Molecule: ribosomal RNA, 315 nt
Filed under: uncultured bacterium
Lineage: Bacteria
Description: bacterial SSU rRNA
Rfam family: Bacterial small subunit ribosomal RNA
Source: RNAcentral
GAUAAACGCUGGCGGCGCACAUAAGACAUGCAAGUCGAACGGACUUAACUCGAAGUUUACUUUGAGAGCGGUUAGUGGCGGACUGGUGAGUAACACGUAAGCAACCUGCCUAUCAGAGGGGAAUAACAGUGAGAAAUCAUUGCUAAUACCGCAUAUGCCCACAGUAUCACAUGAUACAGUGAGGAAAGGAGUAAUCCACUGAUAGAUGGGCUUGCGUCUGAUUAGCUAGUUGGUGGGGCAACGGCCUACCAAGGCGACGAUACGUAGCCGACCUGAGAGGGUGAUCGGCCACACUGGAACUGAGACACGGUCCAG